This 229-nucleotide ribosomal RNA is filed under the name uncultured bacterium. Its description in RNAcentral is "partial 16S ribosomal RNA". It matches the Rfam family "Bacterial small subunit ribosomal RNA", at positions 568 to 796 of the family's 1533-position model. The record is from RNAcentral.
UACGUAGGCGGAAUAUUAAGUCAGUGGUGAAAUCCUGCGGCUCAACCGUAGAACUGCCAUUGAUACUGAUAUUCUUGAAUGUAGUUGAGGUAGGCGGAAUGUGUAAUGUAGCGGUGAAAUGCUUAGAUAUUACACAGAACACCGAUUGCGAAGGCAGCUUACUAAGCUAUGAUUGACGCUGAGGUACGAAAGCGUGGGGAGCGAACAGGAUUAGAUACCCUGGUAGUCC